Molecule: ribosomal RNA, 375 nt
Filed under: uncultured Desulfocapsa sp.
Lineage: Bacteria; Pseudomonadati; Thermodesulfobacteriota; Desulfobulbia; Desulfobulbales; Desulfocapsaceae
Description: bacterial SSU rRNA
Rfam family: Bacterial small subunit ribosomal RNA
Source: RNAcentral
AGUAGAAAGUUACUUCGGUACAUCGGUGACAGGUGGUGCAUGGUUGUCGUCAGCUCGUGUCGUGAGAUGUUGGGUUAAGUCCCGCAACGAGCGCAACCCCUAUUGUUAGUUGCCAUCAUUCAGUUGGGCACUCUAAAGAGACUGCCGGUGUCAAACCGGAGGAAGGUGGGGAUGACGUCAAGUCCUCAUGGCCUUUAUGACCAGGGCUACACACGUACUACGAUGGCCGGUACAAAGGGCAGCGACACAGCGAUGUGAAGCGAAUCCCGAAAAGCCGGUCUCAGUCCGGAUUGGAGUCUGCAACUCGACUCCAUGAAGUUGGAAUCGCUAGUAAUCGCGGAUCAGCACGCCGCGGUGAAUACGUUCCCGGGCCUU